GCCUGGCUGGCUCAGGAAGAGUGUAUGGCUCUUGAUCUUGGGGUUGUGGGUUCGAGCCCCAUGCUGGGUG
This 70-nucleotide transfer RNA is filed under the name Canis lupus familiaris (dog). It matches the Rfam family "tRNA". Rfam says of the family: Transfer RNA (tRNA) molecules are approximately 80 nucleotides in length. Their secondary structure includes four short double-helical elements and three loops (D, anti-codon, and T loops). Lineage: Eukaryota; Metazoa; Chordata; Mammalia; Carnivora; Canidae. RNAcentral also lists the same sequence under 2 other names. The record is from Rfam by way of RNAcentral.